Piliocolobus tephrosceles (Ugandan red Colobus) is the source of this 1986-nucleotide long non-coding RNA. The record is from Ensembl. NCBI's taxonomy places the organism in Eukaryota, Metazoa, Chordata, Mammalia, Primates, Cercopithecidae.
UAUAAAUAUACAAGUAUAAAUAUACAAGUAUAAAUGUACAAAUAUAAAUGCACAAAUAUAAAUGUACAAAUAUAAGUAUAAAUACAUAUGUACGUACGUGUGUACCCCACUUUGCUUAUAUAGGAAGAAACACUCUCCAUUUAUGACGAUAUAAAAUUAAAUAUAAAAAAAAAAGACAAAAAUUAAUAGUAAAAUCUAUUAUGAUUGAAUAUUGUUCAUGUUUAACUGAAAAAGAAACAAACAACUUUUUUAAAUUAGUUUUAAAAAAAAAAAAGAAUUCAAAGAUGUAUUUUAUAUGAAGAACACACAAGAAGGUGUUGAAAAAAACGUAUAACAACGUGAGCAAACAAAAUGAGACAAUAACAAAAAAAAGUAAUGAAAAAAAAAUGGAUAUACGAGUGGUAAUGUCGAUUCUGAUGAAGAUAUUGACAGUAUUAUCGAAUGUAGUGAUUGUGAAGAAUUUAGUGGAUACGAAGUAAUUGGAGCAGAUAAAACAGUCGGUAUGAGUAAAGUGAGCAAUACAAACUACAAACAUCUUAUGAGCAACAAAUUUAUAUACAAAUACAACCAUAUGAACAACUGCAACGAUGAUAUGAUAAUGUUUAAAUGUUACACAUUGGAUAAAUUAAAAAAAUGUAAGUAUGGUUAUAUGUGUUGAUCCUUUUUAUCAAUUAAAAAAAUAUAUUUUAAAAAAAUUAAAAAAUAAAAAUAAAAAACAUAUAUAUAUAUAAAAUAUGAUAAAAUGUAUAAAAUAAUGUCUAUAUACCCUGAGGAAGUUCAGAGUGAAAAACAAAAAAAUGAUACAACACCACAUAAUAAUAAUGAUAAUAAUAAUAAUGAUAAUAAUGAUAAUAAUAAUAUGCCACAAAAAUCGAAUGCUUUUUUUGACAAAAUUAAACACUACAUAAACAAUGAUUAUUACUUCGUAUUUAAUAAUAUAGAAAAUAAAAUGUACCAGAAAAUAAACAAAGUAGUAAAUGGUUCUGUACAUACUAGAACAAGCACAAUAUACAUAUUUGUCGAAAAAUUAAAACAUAUAAAAUUUAAACACAUGUCGCAAAAACAUAAAAUUGUUUAUUGUGAUUAUAAAAAAGAAAACAUUAUUAAUGUGUUUUAUUAUUAUUACAAUAAAAUAUAUAACAAAAAUGUGAACUUACCGUUUGAAGCUGACGAGAAAGACGUCUAUCAUCAGCAGGUCAUUAAUGUCUUAAAUGCUGUGUUUAAUGGAGAAUCGAAUUUAGUAGAGGCAAAAGAAAAAGUAUUUGCUGCAAAAGAGGUUUACCAAAAAGAGAAAAAGGAAAAAAAGGAGAAAAUGGAAAAAAAAGGAGAAAAUGGAAAAAAAGGAGAAAAUGGAAAAAAAGGAGAAAAUAGAAAAAAUGGAGAAAAAAGAAGUAUUAACAAAGAAUAGUACUACCAUAUACAACGAGAACAUACACUUGUUAUAUAUAUACAUAUUUUAUUUAUUAAAAGAACAAUUAAAGAUAGUAAAAAAAAUUAUACUAUUUCUAAUUGGUUAUUUUUAAAAAUUGUAAAAAAGUAUUACCAAAUGUUUGAUGUAAGUAAAGACUAUUCUGAAAGUAAUUUGUUAAAUUUUUUUUAUUUUUAUAUUUUAUCUUUUAUAGAUAGUAAACAUAUUUUUGUUUUUAAUUUCAUAUUAAGCAUUUAUUUGGAUGUAUUUAUUUAUAAAUGUAUAAAGAUGAAGGAUGUUUUUUUAUUUUUUAAAAAUUACGACAAAAGGAAUGAGAAGAAUUUUUUUCAAAAUAUGCACUAUGAACAAGGUGAUGGAAAAACAAAAAAAGCGAAAAAUGAUAUAAGACAUGGUGAAAAAUAUAACAGUGAAAACGAUGGAAAAGACGACGGAAAAAACGACGAAACAGAAUUAACAAGUUUGUACGAUAAUAUCAAUAUUUUUACAGCUAAAAGAUGUUAUACAAAUUCAGAAAAACGAAUAGCAAUAGAAAAUGUUCCAAACAAAGUAGAAAAUAA